GGGCCUGUAGCCAAGUCGGUUAAGGCAGCGGACUCAUAAUCCGUGCAUCCUGGGUUCGAGCCCCAGCGGGCCUA
This 74-nucleotide transfer RNA is filed under the name Sutterella parvirubra YIT 11816. It matches the Rfam family "tRNA". Rfam says of the family: Transfer RNA (tRNA) molecules are approximately 80 nucleotides in length. The record is from Rfam by way of RNAcentral. Lineage: Bacteria; Pseudomonadati; Pseudomonadota; Betaproteobacteria; Burkholderiales; Sutterellaceae.